CUAGACUAGUGGGCCUUG
Molecule: transfer RNA, 18 nt
Filed under: Pseudogekko smaragdinus
Lineage: Eukaryota; Metazoa; Chordata; Lepidosauria; Squamata; Gekkonidae
Description: partial tRNA-Asx
Source: RNAcentral